GACGAACGCUGGCGGCGUGCCUAACACAUGCAAGUCGAGCGGAUGAAGUUCCUUCGGGAAUGGAUUUAGCGGCGGACGGGUGAGUAACACGUGGGCAACCUGCCUCAUAGAGGGGAAUAGCCUCCCGAAAGGGAGAUUAAUACCGCAUAAGAUUGUAGUACCGCAUGAUACAGCAAUUAAAGGAGCAAUCCGCUAUGAGAUGGGCCCGCGGCGCAUUAGCUAGUUGGUGAGGUAAUGGCUCACCAAGGCGACGAUGCGUAGCCGACCUGAGAGGGUGAUCGGCCACAUUGGGACUGAGACACGGCCCAGACUCCUACGGGAGGCAGCAGUGGGGAAUAUUGCACAAUGGGGGAAACCCUGAUGCAGCAACGCCGCGUGAGUGAUGACGGCCUUCGGGUUGUAAAGCUCUGUCUUCAGGGACGAUAAUGACGGUACCUGAGGAGGAAGCCACGGCUAACUACGUG
Molecule: ribosomal RNA, 464 nt
Filed under: uncultured bacterium
Lineage: Bacteria
Description: partial 16S ribosomal RNA
Rfam family: Bacterial small subunit ribosomal RNA
Source: RNAcentral